RNAcentral lists this long non-coding RNA (11863 nucleotides) under Marmota monax (woodchuck). The stretch from base 10103 to 10171 matches the Rfam family "tRNA". The record is from RNAcentral. Lineage: Eukaryota; Metazoa; Chordata; Mammalia; Rodentia; Sciuridae.
CAAACCCCACCUCAGUGUGUCUAAAAGGUAGGAUGUGGAGUAAAGGAUGAUCACUCUCUUGUGUUGGGAUGAAGUGUUUGUCCUGUUGGGGUCUACCUAUCCCUUUCUUCCUUCCUAGCUCUCCCUCUUGGGAUGGGAAUGUUUGACCUAUGCCUGUCUCACCCUUGUAUUUUGGAAGCACAUGACCUGUUUUAUUUCACAGUUUCACAGCUGGAGAGCGAUUUGCCUCAGGGCGACUCAUGCUUUGGGUCUCACCCAUUUCUGAUUUAGACUUUAAAGCUGAUACUGGAACAAGUUCAGACUUUGGAGAAUAUUGGGAUGGAAUGAAGAUAUUUUGUAUGUGGAACAGGACAUUGUUUGAGAGGAUCCAGGGUGAAACCGUUAUAAAUGGAAUUAUCAAACUUAGAACAUGGCUAAAGGAAGCUAGUUAGGCUCUUCCAUCCUCCACCUCUCCUGUCUUGUGAACACACAAUAUGGAAUUUAUAAUUAAUAGGGAAGCAGAACUUAAAGGUUUGAAAAAUUCUCAACCCCACCAUAUGAGGCAUGAAAGGGUAUCUGUUCCCCACUGGAGAACAGCAACGAGGCAUCAUCUUGAAAGAAGAGACUGGAUCAUCACCAGACAACAAACCUUCCAGUAUCUCAAUUUCAGACUUUCCAGCCUCUAAAAAAAAGGUUUUUAAGAAUAUUUUUUCUUUAUUAUAAAUUAUGCAUGGGGCUGGGGUUGUGGCUAGACCGCUUGCCUGGCACAUGCAGGGCCAUGGGUUUGAUCCUCAGCACCACAUAUAAAUCAGUAAAAUAAAGGUAUUGUGUCCAACUACAACUAAAACAUAAAUAUUUAAAAAAAACUAUGCAGUCUCAGGUAUUUAGUUAUAGUAACAAACAGACUAGGACAGCAUCAUUUGCUUAAAUUAGAUUCUAAUGUGAUCAAGGGAAAAACUACAGAGAAAACAAUAGUGGCUUUUGAGUAAUGAUGAAAAGAUUAAGAAAAAUCAAAGAGUAGUACUUGACAAAUGUUAAAAGCAGAAUCAACAGAAUCUGGCCAUCAAAUUGGAUGUGUAAAGCAAGGGAAAUUGUUGGCGAUGGGAGAGAAAUUUGUAACUGUAUGCUAACUUGUGAAUUGUUCCUGUGAGUAAUUAAACCAGAACUCUACAAAAGUAGCAAGUAAUUGCAAACCUUAGAAGCUGCGGACACAUUAAAAGACAAAGAGCAAUGCUGUAUUUUACUUCUGAAAUGAAAAUGCAAACCCUCUGAAACAUCACAAAAUACACUGUCCAGUGAAUUCAACUCCAACAAGCAACUGAAUGCCUGAAAGCUCUGGUCUGUCUGGGGAUGGGACAGAGAAAACUAGAGCAAGCUAAAGGCAGAGCAUGGAAACAUUCCAAGGCAGUGCCUCCUUUCCCAUCUCCAUGGGUAUAAAUAUUUUGUGCUACAGGGGAAGGGGAUUAUGGUGGAAGAAGAGGGGACAGAAUUCUCCCAGAAAAAUGCUAGAACAGAAUGGCAAGGUUAGGAGUGAGCAGAGGACUAGUCUAGGGAACAGUGGAGUAAAAUACUCUGACAAGUAUUUUAAAGGCGAAAACCGGACUCACUAGAACCUCUAUUUUUAUAUAUUUAUGUUAAAUAUCAAUUUCUUCAGGGAUGGAGCUGUGUUUAAAAUUUUAUUAGCUCUAUAAAGAGCUUCAAGAUAACAUCUAGCAGUUAGUUAUUUCCAAACAUGGGAAGGCAUUAGAACCACUAAGGAGUAUGAUAAAAAUGCAGAUAUCAAAUUCAAUAAUUCCUUCGACAUUCAUUGGCAGACAGAGUUCUGUAAUGAAGGCCUGUCUCCCAUACGCCGUUACUAGGGUUGCAGUUGUCCGUUAAUAGAUUCUUACUUAAUGUGCUGUAAUCCAUGACUCUCUCAUUUUUCUGUCUGAUAUUUAGAGAAUUUGGUCUAUAUGCGCUUAUUCAAUCUGAUUCCUGUAUUCUUUUGACAGGUUCUCUUUGCCUUUAAGUACUUCUUUUCCCUAUUUCUGGAAUAACAAGCUAUUCCAGUAUCAAAAUGUAAUCUAUCUGCCCAGACCCUAGGUCAGCCAUUCUUUUAAAGAUCUCUGAAUCAUUUUAGAGGGGACUGUCAUUUAAAAACCAAGACCUGGAGACCAGGCAUGGUUUCUGCUACCAAGGAAGAUAGCGUUUAGACUCUCCAUUCAACUCUAACACCAUAAGGAACUUCCUUGCCUUCUCUUGCUCAUAGGUAUCUCCCAAUAUGUAAGAAAUCUGUUUCAUAAACAUUAAUGUAUUUUUCAUCUUGCUGUGUCUACCAUAUCAAAUGAAAAUUGUUUCAGAUUCACUAUUCCAACAGCAGUACUAAUUACAAAACCACUGAGCAAGUUCGGUAUUUUUAGUUUAUAUUGUCUUUAGAAUAUAUUCCAAUAAAAGUGCAUAGAAUGCCAUACAGAUGCUUGAUCUAAUCUGCUAUUUAAAUGUGCAAACUGGCAGAUUCUGAUUGUGGAGCAUUCUACCAAACAAGGGACAUUGGGUUCUUCAAAAAUGUCAAGUCUUGGAAAUCGAGGAACAAGGUGGAAUUGCUGUAAAUGAAAGAAUACUGGAGGCAUGAAAACCAAAUAAAAUGCAAAAUAUUGGAUUGGAUUGUCAUGAAGAAACUACAAGAACUUUUUUGUGUAACAAUUGAAGAAACUUAAAUAUAGACCACAUUUUGGUAAUAUAAUUGCAUAAAUGUCAAUAAGGUUUCUUGGGUGUGAUAGUGGGUAUUAUGGUUAUAAAAUAUCUUUGUUCUUAGAAAAUGCACAUUAAUUAUUAAUGUUUUUAGGGGCAACAUGAUGUCUACAAUUGAUUUUUAAAUGGAGAAAAAGAAUAACUAUAAAGAAAAUGUAGCAAACUUUGGACUGACUUUCAAAUAUAGGGACAAAAAGAAAGAAUGAGUGAAAGAGAGAGACCCAUGAAGUAAAUGUGGCAAAAUUAGCAAUAAGAGAAUCUAGUGAAAGGUAAAUAGGUUUUCAUUGAACAGUUGUUUCAAUUAUUUUAGUUUUAAUAGUUUUUCAAAAUAUAGUUGGGGAUAACAAUAUAGAAAUAUAAGCCCCACCCAAAUGAUUCUGAUGAUUUUGGUCUUAGGAACUUUCUGGAAAUGCACAUUUUUAUCAAGAGGAUUCUGAUGCAGAUAAGACAGCACUUAAGAAUGACUGAGUAGAUGGCAUUUUUUAGUGGGAUUUAUUGCCUCAAAUUUGUACAUGAACACAAUAUCACAAUACAAUUUGGUCAGUAUAAUUCCCAGUAUUUUCCUUUUCUUUCCCCUCCGGUCUCCCCACUAUCCUUUCCUCUAGUCACUGACCUCAUUUUGAUUUUCAUGAGAUCCCUCCCUACCUUUUUUUUCCUCUCUAGUUUCCACAUAUGAAGGCCAUGAUGACCUUGAUAUUCUGAGACUGAUUUAUUUCACUUAAUAAAGUGAUCUCAAGUUUCCUCCAUUUUUCCUGCAAAUGACAUAAUUUCAUUUUUCUUUAAGGAUGAAUAGAACUUCAUUGAGUAUAGAUACCAUAUUUUCUUUAUCCAUUCAUCCAUGGAUGAACACCUAGGCUGGUUCCAUAGUUCAACUAUUGUGAACUAUGUGCUGCUAUAAACACAGGUAGGAAUGUGUUGCUCUAGUAUGAUGACUUACUUCUUUAGUAUUAUUAUUCAAAAUACGAAGUAGUAUUUGUGUUCCUAAAUAAAGUUUUAUCGGAACUCAGCCACACACACUCAUAUACAUAUUUCCUAUAGUUACUUUCAUGCUACAAAGACCAAAAAGCUCACAAAGCUUAAAAUAUUUUUAACCUGGCCAUUUGCAGAAAAAAGAAUAACUUUUGGUCUAAUGUGUUAAAAUUAAUGGGGAAGGCAUUGGAACAACUUGUAAAUUUUACUUUACUUUUUGUUCUUUUGCAGUACUUGGGAUUGAACCCAGGGCUUCGCACAUGCUAGACAAGUGCUCUACCACUGAGUUACACCCCCAGUCCUGAAACAACUUUAAAUAAUAUGGAAAACUGCAAGUUAGGGAAAGGGGCACUGAUCUGGCAAAGUAAGCAUUCCAGUCCAUGGUGAGUGUUAUCAUUAUAUACAAAGGAAACAGGCAAACAAGCAAAAAAAGAAUCAGAACAAAAAUUUGAGAGUGCCAACAAUAACUGGUUUCUUCACAUCAACUCUGGGAAGCAGAGGUCAUUCAAGCUUUAUAAAUAGGGACUUGGAACAUAGAAAUAAAGAAACCCACUCAAGGUCAUUUUAAUUGCAAGUGGAAGGAUUGUGACUCAGAAUUAAUUUGGACAGAUUUCAUGUCCCCUUUUGGUUGGGCCACUCUUUCACCUCUGCCACAUUUUAGCCUUCAUUUAAUUGAAACUCAGAUCUGAUGCUCCUGGUGUUCAGAGUGAGGACCUUUAAAAUUAUUUUAAAGAGGAGCCCCCAAGAGGAUCAUCCUUUCUUCUAAAAAAUGAGUCUUUGUCAGGUUAAUAUUGUUAUAUUUAAAAUUCUGUCCCAUAGACUUUCUGAAAGAUUGCAAAAUGUGGUUAUUUUUUUCUGUACCACUCAUAUUAAUACACCUAAGUAAAGCACUCUUUGAUGAAGUCAGUAUUCCAGAAAGAAUGCAAAAACACUUUACUGCAUUUUAUUUUUAUUCCAGAAAGUAAAGUAAUCCAAAAUUUUGUUCUGUGAUUGUUAGAGCUUCCUCCCUCCCUCCCUCCCUCCCUCCCUCCCUUCCUUCUUUCUUCUCUCCCUCCCUCCCUCCCUUCCUUCUUUGCCUCCUGUUUUUUACUUAAAGGAGAGUUUUUUGUUUGUUUAUUAGAAUCAAGUUAGAGCAAACUUAGAUUCUGUCACAAAAAAGCACAUUAUAAUUUAAAAUUCUUUCAAGGCUAAAAUUAUGAUGAUUCUUCUUUGGGGAAUGUGGAAAUUUAUGAUAGGAUAAGACUAUGACAUUUAUACCAUAUGUGUGUAUACACACACACACACACACACACAUAGGUGCAUGUAUAUGAUAUAGGUGUAUAUACAUACAUAUGUAAGAUUGCAUAUAUUAUAUACAUAAAAUAUAUGCAUAUAUUACCUAGAUAAUACAUCUAAUUAUAUCAUAAUGUUUAUUCCUCACCUCCAAAGAAAAAUGUUCUUGUUCAAUUUCCUUGAAACAAUCUGUCCUCUAGCCUUGUAUUCAAUUUUCCAAAUUUCUAUGAGCCGUAUCUAUAAAAGAUAUAUUUCCACUACAAGAAAAACAAUGCAAGCACCAUAACAAAUGGCUUCCAAGUUGGGUAAUGUGAAAUAGUGAAAGAUGUUCAGAACUGGAAAGCACACUCUUAGAGUGAAGAGGUGGUUCUGCCCAAUUUCAGUUUGUGAUUUCUGUCAUUCAGGAAAGCAUAGGAGUCAGAUUUUAUGAUUCUCCAAGACCAUGAAGUAAUAUAUUUUUAAAUGAUUGAUAAAAUUUGGCUUGAAUCAUUUAAAAUAUCAUUUGUUCCCACAAAUAAAAUAGAAAACAAGCAACUCAAAAAGACUCCUGCAGGUUGCAUUAGGCCCUUAGUUUCUUGAGUUUGUAACUCUCAAGGUGAGUGAAUUGUGGUCUGGAUUUCUAACUAAGCGGGUCUCCAACCAGGUUGCACAGUGGAAGUCUGUGCUCGACACUGUGAUCCAAGCUCGUAUUCUGAUAGAGUAAUAUCUCUGAUCUUGAAGGAUCUGUUUAUCCAAUGAAUCUUCUGCAAGGCAGGCUUUUUGGAACUAUCAGCUGUCCUUAUCUUCCUUCUGCUUCACCUACACCAGUGCCCAAACUACGCUUGGCAGAAAUGGGAUGGGUAGAUAUUUUGUUUUCUACUAUGUGAUUACACACCAGAUUAUCUGCCUUACUGUUCUUUCAAAAAAGUAAGGUAGAGCUAUCGGAGAGAACAUUUCCAUCUCUUUCCAAAUUCCCAGUUGUCAAGAGUUAAAUACUUCCACGGACUAGCAGGAAAAACAAAUGAAAAACCAAAACAACAAUAUUUAACAAGUUUCCAAAGUGGAAUUUGUAUGAAGAUAACAUUUGGAAAUAUUUGAAUCAAUAGGGAUGUCACUUUUUAUUCUCUAUAGAUGCAGACAAUCAAGGGAACAACAUUUCUGGGAAGAGGGCUGGGCUUUGCUCUCUAUAAAUGCCCCCUUUUACUUCUAGCAAUUAUCUUUAGCCACGUAAGGGUUAACUCAGAUGCAGGGGGAAAGUUUAGGGAGCUAGCAGAUCUGGUUCUGAGCAACCUUGGGAACUACAGCCUGACCCUUGGUCAUCCAGGGGAGGGUGAGAUUAUGUACACAUUUCAAAGCUUCAAACUCCAACAAUGUUCUGGGAUUGGGCUGCUUCCAGGAGAAAUAACCUGACUUUUUCUUCCUUUUCAAGUACUCACAAAAAGUGUAAGUUAUCCAGCAAUUCUUAAGCAUUUCAUUUGUAUAUUGUAUUACUGUUUGAACAGUAAUAUGAUGAUCAUGGUCAUGGAUCCUUUAAACAUCCUGGAAAGGUAGGUCAGGUGUGAAGCAUAGUUUACUGACUGGAACACAGAAGCUUAGCAAGGUUCUGGGACUUUACCAUGGUUACUAUCACUUAAGUUUUCUGUGUCAGACUUCAGAAUUUUUUCUUUCAGUAUUUGAGGAAUCAUUGCUUUAUGCAAUACUUUCCUACUUCUGUUGAGGUCAUCAACUUUUAAACCUGAUUCAACAUGUCCCUAUCACUUUUGACCUCAGUUAUUGUGCAAACACUCCGAUAAUUUCAGAAACAAUUAUUGACUAAUCUGUAAACAGCCUGUGGUAGACACAUUCAUGGGGAUAAAAAAUAUAGGACUCUGUUUCUGUUCUCAAGGGAUGGGCAAGUUGGAUUAAAAAAAAAACAACAAAUUACACAAAACUAUCAGAAAUUAAAGGUAAACCUAAGAAUAAAUGGAUUCAACAUGUGUCAAACACAAGACUAAAUACUUUACUUAUUUAAUCCUUGCAAAAACUCUCCAAAACAAUGUGAUUAUUCACUUGACAAUGGAGGAAAUUAUUGAAUAACUUGCCCAAGGUCAUAGCUGGCUAGUGACAGAACUGGGAUUCUACCCUGCUUUUGCCGGAUGUCAAAUUUCUGGAGAGUUUCCCUGCACCAUUCUGUCCCACUGAACAUACACAGGGGCCUAUUGUGGUGGGGACUGAAUACUGAAAAGCCCAGGAAAUGGGGAGGUUGGACUUCCUCAGCAGAGGGCAGAAACAGAGAAGUGAGUUGUUGAGUUGGCACUUGAAAGAAAUGGCUGGUAUUUCUGGUGGAACAGUGGUGGAGAGGAGAACACAGUUGAGUGGUGGAUGAGUAAUGGGGGAUGCAUUGGUUAUAACUGUGUAUGCAGUUACCCUCAGAGGUCAGGCUUCUUCUCUGGCAGGCGAGGCAUAGGUUAGCACAGCAUGUUCUUGGAGCUAGAUUUAUAACUAUGCCUCUUUGUUCUGUAGGGGAAUUUGUUGCUUUUGCCAAGUACCUUAGCUUCCUGAGUACUGGUACUUCUUGGGUGAAUGGAAAUCAAGAUUUUGCAACAUCUGUGAGAGGAGAAGAAAGGGGCUGAGUAAGAGUAAGGUGAACAACCCCUUACCUUAAGGACAGUGAAGGAGAGCUGAAGAGGCCUCUUGUGGGUGUUACCUCCAUUUGCUUCUCAACACAUGGCAUUGCACAAGUUCUUGAAAAGGUGAUUCAAACUUUGCAUCAACCAAAAAAAUUGUUUUUUUCUAGUUUCCUUUGGAAAAAAUAAUCAGAUACUUAUCAACACCAAGUCUACAAUUUCUUCAUAACAAUGCUAAAUACGCACAGUGUGUGUUAUGUUCUGUGCACUGUUUUAAGCACAUUAAUCUCUUUCGUUCUCAGAACAAUCUUAUGAGGUAUGAAUGAUGCUAAAUCUUCUUUUUCCUAUUGGGAAACUGAGGCACAGGGAGGGGUUAAGUAACUUCACUAAGGCUGUAGGGCUGGGAUUUGAACCCAGGAAGCACAAUUUUAAAGUCCACAUAUUUGCUAGGAAUUGUUUUCCCUUGUAUGGAAGUUUAUGGCUAUAGCGGAACCAUUCUUUUUAUGUGACCUUUUAAAAUCAAUCUUUAAAAUUGAGCAGUUUUUUUUUUUUUUUUUUUUGCUAUUCCUACACAAGCAAUUUUACAUGCAGUGGUUUCAGAGAGGCGGAGUUCUGUUCUUUCUUGUUCUGAAGUCAAGGUCUAAGGGAAUGCCUUAGUUGUUCUACUAUAAAUGUGCCUUAGAGAUGCCCACAGAAAGUCAAAGGGACAACCAAGAAAUAUACAGCUAAUUUUUUUCAUUCACUCAUCCACACAUUCCAUUAAUCAUUCAAUAAGCAUUGAGUUUUAAAUACAGGGAAAAACACGAUGGGCCAUACCCUAGGUAAUACAUAGAUGUACAAGACAGCCCUUCCUCUCUUAAAGUGCUUUCAAUGAGAUUCUCUAUACAACAUCUGCCUUUGGAAGCUAUUGCUAUUGCUAUUGAUAUGAAUAUUACUACUACUAAUUAUAAUAAUAUUCAAUAGCAUGGCAAUUGAAUAGCUCUUGACAGUUUACAAAAUAAUUUCGUAAAGUACUAUUUCAUUCAGUCUCCAUCAUAACUCUGAGAAAUAGAAAACACUAUUUUUUCCUCAAUUUUAUACAUGACAAAUUGGAAGAACAGAAAAUUGAAGCCCAAAUAACACUAAUUGAUUGUGGAUCUGGACCUAGAACCUGGUUUUCAGGAUUCCACUUUCUCUUUUAUUUCUUCUGUAUACAAGAGCUCUGCUGGGUGUUAGGAGGUGAUGAAAAGAGCUCUGGGAAGUGAAUUGGCCAGUUAGUCUUGUGAGUUAUAGCUGGACCCAGGCAGGGGACCAUAUAGCCUAUAGGACCUGGUCCCUAUCAGCCAUUCCUAAGGGGAGUCAACUCUGACAAUGGAUGACAAGAAGAUGUUAAGACUUGUUGGUCUUUGGCAUAGUCCUCACUAAAAAUAACUGUUUCUCACUAGGAUUCCUUGUACUUUAGAAAGUGAGGAUAUCUGGUAAGGUCUCAUGCCAGAUUAGAAAGUCAUAUGACCACUCUGCCUAUACCACCAGGAAGCUAUGGACUUGGAAAAGCAGGAUUCUGGUCUUUCAUGCUGGCACUAAAAGAUCCUGGAUGAGUGUGUUUAAAUAUGCUCACCUAUAACCUCCUCUGUCUUAGAACAGGGCAUUUGGAACUAGGUUAUUCAGGUCAAGAGGCCAACUAAAUGGCUGAUAUCAGAAAUCAAAGAGAAAGUAAAUUACAGCAGGAGACCACCCACAUGAGACAGCCUAGGACACUGAAACCUAUGAUCCUGAAGGAAAUGACAAGAUUCAAAUAUGGGAAGAACGUAAACCAAAGCAUUCCUCUAAAAAAAAAAAAAAGAAAGAGAAGGAUGAUAAAUUUCCAAAAUGGUUUUCAGCGUCACUCACAUUAAAAAUUAAAACAAUAAAACAUUAUUUUUCAUGUCAGGGAAGUUUGAUAACACCAGUCUAAAGAUAGUGUAGGAAAAUAGAAGUCUUUUUCCCUAUCAGUGGACCACAUAUUAGAACAACCUUUUGAAGAGCUUUCAGCAGCAUCUAUGAGGCACAUACACUUUGACCAAGGGGUCUAUUUUGGGGAUUUUUUUUUAUGACACAGGUACUCACGCAAGUGCACAAAGAUACCAGGCAAGGGAGUUCAUUGCAACAUUUUUGUAAAAACUGGAAACAAUUUUUAAAUGUCUAUGAAUAGGAAAUACGAGCCAAACAUUUUAAAACAUCUAAUACUAAUUAGCAAAAACAAGUAGUUGAAUAGUAGAUAUAUUAUGAGCAUUUGUAUAAAUGAACAAAUGAAUAUAGGAAUUCAUAUGUAUAUCUUUCUCUAUUCACAUGUAUCUGUGUGCUUUUGCACAUAUGGACAUUCCUGAAAGGAUAUGUAGUUAAUAUAUGUAGUUAAUGCAUGUAGUUAAUAGUAACUUGAGGGGGGAGUGAGAGUGGGAGCCCAGUGUGGGAUGAAGGUUUGUUUCUAUUCUAUUGAUGUAUAAUAACUUGAAUAUUUUUAAUCAUAAAAGUUUUGUAUACUUAAGGUAAUAUUUAAAUGAACUAAUAAAGGACUUAUAAAAAACAAGAAUAGACCAAUACACGGGGCUGGGGUUGUGGCUCAGCGGUAGAGCACUCAUCUAGCAUGUGUGAGGCCCUGGGUUCGAUCCUCAGCACCACAUAAAAAUAAAUAAACAAAAUGAAGGUGUUGUGUACAACUAAAAAAUAAAUAUUAAAAAAAAAGAAUAGACCAAUACUAAGAAGUGCUAUCAACCUCAAGUUCAAAACAUCAAAGGUGAGCUGGGGUUGUGGCUCAGUGGUAGAGCACUUGCCUAGAUGUGUGAGUACUGGAUUUGAUCCUCAGCACCCUAUAAAAAAAUAAAUAAAAAAUAAAAAAAAAACAAAGGUAUAAUGAUAAUGGUAUUAAAAAUAAUGUCAUACAUUUAACUUUACUUUGUGCUAGACAAUGUCUUAAGCCUGUUAUAUACAUGAAGUUAUUUAAUACUUAACAUAAUCCUGCAAGGUAGUUAUUGUCCAUAUUACUGUGUUCGUGGGGUCUGAAAAGGUUAUCUUUAAGAGGUGAGAUUGAGAUAGAAGAUCACAAGUCUGGAGCUGAGUUCAGAACUGAUUUUGAAUUGACAAGCAAGAGUCAAGAAAUUCCUGUCAUGGACUUGGAGGUUUCCCUAUUCAUGCUUGUGAGCACAGGGUUCCUCAUGAGUUGAACUUCCUCCAAAGCCAGAGACAGUACUUCUGCCUCCCUGUGUGUCUGGCUGACUUGAUUACUAUGUCAGUUGAGAGUUAGAAAGAGUCGUAUUAACAGGAACCAAAUAAAAUAAUUGAUUAAUAAGAUAAAAAUUUUAUUUAUUUAUUUAUUUUUGGCUCAUGUAAAAGAAUUCCAGAGACAGUACAAAGCCAGUAUGGUGACUACAUGAAAUCAGGGACCAACAUUUCUUCUGGCUGGCCACCAUACGUGGCCCUCAUAUGGAUGUGGUCUUCAUAUCUAUGAUUGAGAUGGCUAUUGGAGCUCCAGUCACAGCAUCCUUACUUCAAAGAGAAGCUGGCAAAAGGAGAGAUAAGUGGCUGGAUUUCAUGUAUCCAAGUAUGUUUCUUAAAAGGUGCUCACUGUUGGCGUCUACAUAUCUUUGUGCAGAACUUAGUUAUUGACUUACAGUUGCGGAAGAGCAAAUGGAAGGAAGCUGGGAAAGUUAGUCUUUAGACAAUCAGGAUAACAAAUUGGGGGUUAUUACUAAGGAAAAGAGGGAAUAUGGAUUUUAGAGUAACCAACUGGUAGUUCUGGAAGUAAGAAUUAUCCACUCGUUUGAAGAAUAUUAUCCAUUUCCAGGUGCUGAGAAAGGGAGCUUUCAUCCUAGAGACUGAACAUUGAAGGUCACUCUACUUAUGGCUUCCACCUAAGUGACUGACAAAGGAUAUUUUGAGGGCAUUGGGAGCCUAAGGGUGCAGGGCAGGUAAGCCGAUCUAAGCAGGUAUAAGGGACUCUAAGAAAGGAUGGACAUGGUCCCUCGUCACAAUUUUACAAGGGUCAGACUUGUACUCUGAUCAUUUUAUUUGAUCAGUGCUUUUCUUACUAGAAGUCUUCUACACCACAAUGUCUACCAGAGCCUCUCACGUCUCAUCUUUGGAAAGCGGUAAGGGUGCUCUAGCACUCACUAUUUGGUAAGGACCUGAAGAGUGAUUUUCUGAAGCAAUCAUUUUGCUUAUUAUUGGUUUCCCCAACUGGACUUAUAAAGAAUGACCUUUUAAACUCAUAGAUGUGCUAUAGAAUAGAAAAAGAAAAAAAAAAACAAAUCAAAAGUUCAAAGCUGAAAAAACAAGAAGUAAAGUCCUGCCAAAUAUUUCUGGGCUUCAGCAGA